Molecule: ribosomal RNA, 628 nt
Filed under: Ammonia sp. genotype T1
Lineage: Eukaryota; Foraminifera; Rotaliida; Rotaliidae
Description: partial large subunit ribosomal RNA
Rfam family: Eukaryotic large subunit ribosomal RNA
Source: RNAcentral
UCAGUCAGCGCAGCGUAAUAAUAGAAACUAACCAGGAUUCCCUUAGUAACGGCGAGUGAACUGGGAUACCCAAUAUACCAUCUGUGCGUACCUCGGUGCGUACAAAUUUUAGCCCGUCGAUACUAUCCUAGCAUAGUACUGGCUUCGGCCGGUAACCUAUCUAUGCGCGAAUUGUAGCAUCGUACAAAAAUAUAUUAUACAACGUAUAUAUACGCAACCCACACUUAUAUAUAUCUUUAUGCGUACACUUACUUUCAUAAACACACAGCGCUCUCGCGUUGGAAAGCAAGUUUAUAUCCUUUUUUGGAUACGCCAUAGAGUGUGACAGCCACGUUUCAACUCUACGUACGUACGUACGUAUACACACGCGUUAUAUACAUACACUGUAUUUUAUAUAUAACCUGAGUCGAGUUAUUUGGGACUAUAGCUCUAAUAGUUUGGUUGGUGGUAAUGACACAUCAAAGGCUAAAUAUCGGUUAGUCGAUGCGUAUACACGGAGACCGAUAGCAUACAAGUACCGUAAGGGAACGAUGAAAAGCACCCUAUUGAGUUCACGGCGCAGACUGUCUCGCAAUUUAUUGCAGGACGUCUUGCGCCCAACAACUACAGUGGGAGUGAAAGAGAGAGU